RNAcentral lists this ribosomal RNA (253 nucleotides) under uncultured bacterium. RNAcentral describes it as "partial 16S ribosomal RNA". It matches the Rfam family "Bacterial small subunit ribosomal RNA", at positions 524 to 776 of the family's 1533-position model. The record is from RNAcentral.
UACGUAGGGUGCAAGCGUUAAUCGGAAUUACUGGGCGUAAAGCGUGCGCAGGCGGUUUUGUAAGUCUGUCGUGAAAGCCCCGGGCUCAACCUGGGAAUUGCGAUGGAGACUGCAAGGCUUGAAUCUGGCAGAGGGGGGUAGAAUUCCACGUGUAGCAGUGAAAUGCGUAGAGAUGUGGAGGAACACCGAUGGCGAAGGCAGCCCCCUGGGUCAAGAUUGACGCUCAUGCACGAAAGCGUGGGGAGGAAACAGG